This 261-nucleotide ribosomal RNA is filed under the name uncultured bacterium. RNAcentral's name for it is "partial 16S ribosomal RNA". It matches the Rfam family "Bacterial small subunit ribosomal RNA", at positions 793 to 1055 of the family's 1533-position model. The record is from RNAcentral.
GUCCACGCUGUAAACGAUGUCGACUUGGAGGUUGUUCCCUUGAGGAGUGGCUUCCGGAGCUAACGCGUUAAGUCGACCGCCUGGGGAGUACGGCCGCAAGGUUAAACUCAAAUGAAUUGACGGGGCCCGCACAAGCGGUGGAGCAUGUGGUUUAAUUCGAUGCAACGCGAAGAACCUUACCUACUCUUGACAUCCACGGAACUUAGCAGAGAUGCUUUGGUGCCUUCGGGAACAGUGAGACAGGUGCUGCAUGGCUGUCGU